CUACGGGGGGCACCAGUGGGGAAUAUUGCACAAUGGGCGCAAGCCUGAUGCAGCCAUGCCGCGUGUAUGAAGAAGGCCUUCGGGUUGUAAAGUACUUUCAGCGGGGAGGAAGGGAGUAAAGUUAAUACCUUUGCUCAUUGACGUUACCCACAGAAGAAGCACCGGCUAACUCCGUGCCAGCAGCCGCGGUAAUACGGAGGGUGCAAGCGUUAAUCGGAAUUACUGGGCGUAAAGCGCACGCAGGCGGUUUGUUAAGUCAGAUGUGAAAUCCCCGGGCUCAACCUGGGAACUGCAUCUGAUACUGGCAAGCUUGAGUCUCGGAGAGGGGGGUAGAAUUCCAGGUGUAGCGGUGAUAUGCGUAGAGAUCUGGAGGAGUACCGGUGGCGAAGGCGGCCCCCUGGACGAAGACUGACGCUCAGGUGCGAAAGCGUGGGGAGCAAACAGGAUUAGAUACCCCAGUAGUC
RNAcentral lists this ribosomal RNA (464 nucleotides) under uncultured bacterium. RNAcentral describes it as "partial 16S ribosomal RNA". It matches the Rfam family "Bacterial small subunit ribosomal RNA", at positions 339 to 795 of the family's 1533-position model. The record is from RNAcentral.